RNAcentral lists this ribosomal RNA (468 nucleotides) under uncultured bacterium. RNAcentral's name for it is "partial 16S ribosomal RNA". It matches the Rfam family "Bacterial small subunit ribosomal RNA", at positions 28 to 507 of the family's 1533-position model. The record is from RNAcentral.
GACGAACGCUGGCGGCGUGCUUAACACAUGCAAGUCGAACGGAAAGGCCCUGCUUUUGUGGGGUGCUCGAGUGGCGAACGGGUGAGUAACACGUGAGUAACCUGCCCUUGACUUUGGGAUAACUUCAGGAAACUGGGGCUAAUACCGGAUAGGAGCUCCUGCUGCAUGGUGGGGGUUGGAAAGUCUCGGCGGUUGGGGAUGGACUCGCGGCUUAUCAGCUUGUUGGUGGGGUAGUGGCUUACCAAGGCUUUGACGGGUAGCCGGCCUGAGAGGGUGACCGGCCACAUUGGGACUGAGAUACGGCCCAGACUCCUACGGGAGGCAGCGGUGGGGAAUAUUGCACAAUGGGCGGAAGCCUGAUGCAGCAACGCCGCGUGCGGGAUGACGGCCUUCGGGUUGUAAACCGCUUUCGCCUGUGACGAAGCGUGAGUGACGGUAAUGGGUAAAGAAGCACCGGCUAACUACGUG